RNAcentral lists this ribosomal RNA (130 nucleotides) under Heterocephalus glaber (naked mole-rat). The record is from RNAcentral. Lineage: Eukaryota; Metazoa; Chordata; Mammalia; Rodentia; Bathyergidae.
GUCCACAGCUAUACCCCCCUGAACGCGCCAGAUCUCAUCUGAUCUCAGAAGCUAAGCAGGGUUGGCUCUAGUUAGUUCUUGGAUGGGAGACAAAAAUUGACUUGGAAGAAGAAUCAAGUAUUUGUUGAAU